Long non-coding RNA from Cygnus olor (mute swan), 920 nucleotides. RefSeq lists it as uncharacterized. The record is from RefSeq and is a predicted model, not a curated record. The transcript has 2 exons. NCBI's taxonomy places the organism in Eukaryota, Metazoa, Chordata, Aves, Anseriformes, Anatidae.
AAAUUUUUUCAUUAUUUCAAUACUUUCUUUACAGACGAUAGCAUUUUAAAGUUAUGUUCUCAUAAUACAUGUUUAUUUUAAGUGUUCUUUUUUCUGCAAUUGCUUCUCUUCUGUGGCUAAUCUCUUUCAUUCCAUGUUUCAUGGCUAGAGUUAGACCUUUCAAGCAAAGGAAGUUCUAGUUCUUGGCUGAAGAAGAUCUAGGCUGUCACAUCUUCAAGAAUAUAUUUUCUUAUGGUUCUGGUAUAAUUUCCAAAGAACUUUGGAUAGGAUGGCAUACAUUCUUUAAAAUAUAAUGAAGAAUAAGUUAUGGUGGCAUAAAUUAUGAAUACAACUAAGUUCAUUCAUAUUAGAAUGUGUUUUUCUCUGUUAACUAUUUUUUGUAUGUGUUACCUCUGUGGUCAUAAGUUUACAGUGUUAUUUUGGAAUGUUCUUCUCCAGUUUAACUGCCAGCAAGAAAAAAUUACUUUGGUACUUUAAUAAUAAUUUGUCAAUAUUAUGUGCUAUAUCUCUCAACAGUUCAAACUUUCUUCGAGCGCUAUUUCCAAGAUGGCAAGACAUGGUGAGGUGCAGCAUGUCGCAUCUGGGCCCUGUCAGAACCAGACAGAGGCUUCGCAGGCUCUCCUUUUUGCAUGCUGCUCUGCAGGAAGCACCAAGUGAACGUGGAAAGCAGAGGAAAGGGCUGGUGGCUGCUAUAGGUGUACUGAGUCAGUGUAGUAUAAAUGCUAACAUCUCUACCUGUCUCUUGUCAUUCCUUGUCCCAGGGGUAGAGUAGACUCAGGAAGGGAAGUACGGCUGAAAUACUUUUCUUCCAUCCCCCCAGCUUGAAUGCCUGCGCUUCAUACCUCAUAUUUCUAACUGUUUUUUUGGUGUCCAAAAUGAAGGCCAUUAGAGCGUACCUAAAUAAAGCUUGUUUUACUCUU